This is a non-coding RNA of Acanthosepion pharaonis, 114 nucleotides long. The record is from the annotation of a GenBank genome assembly. NCBI's taxonomy places the organism in Eukaryota, Metazoa, Mollusca, Cephalopoda, Sepiida, Sepiidae.
UUACGCCCAUAUCACGUUAAAAAAUCGGUUCUAGUCUGAACCCCCAAGUUAAGCAACGACGAGCCCGGUCAGUACCUUGAUGGGUGACCGCUUGGAAAUACCCGGUACUGUAAG